GUGGGGAAUAUUGGACAAUGGGGGCUACCCUGAUCCAGCCAUGCCGCGUGAGUGAUGACGGCCUUCGGGUUGUAAAGCUCUUUUACAUGGGAAGAUAAUGACGGUACCAUGAGAAUAAGCACCGGCAAACUUCGUGCCAGCAGCCGCGGUAAUACGAAGGGUGCAAGCGUUGUUCGGAAUUACUGGGUGUAAAGGGCGUGUAGGCGGAUUAGUUAGUUAGUGGUGAAAUCCUUGGGCUCAACCUGAGAACUGCCAUUGAUACAGCUAGUCUGGAGUAUUAGAGAGGAUGACGGAAUAUCCAGUGUAGAGGUGAAAUUCGAAGAUAUUGGAUAGAACACCGGUGGCGAAGGCGGUCAUCUGGCUAAUUACUGACGCUGAGGCGCGAGAGCGUGGGGAGCAAACAGGAUUAGAAACCCCGGUAGUCC
RNAcentral lists this ribosomal RNA (425 nucleotides) under uncultured bacterium. RNAcentral's name for it is "partial 16S ribosomal RNA". It matches the Rfam family "Bacterial small subunit ribosomal RNA", at positions 354 to 796 of the family's 1533-position model. The record is from RNAcentral.